GAAAAGGGCGAAUGGUCUAGUGGUAUGAUUCCUCGUUUGGGUUUAAAGACUUAAACAUAAAAUUCGAGGAGGCCCGGGGUUCAAUUCCCCGUUUGCCCCGA
This 101-nucleotide transfer RNA is filed under the name Candida tropicalis. Its description in RNAcentral is "partial transfer RNA". It matches the Rfam family "tRNA". Rfam says of the family: Transfer RNA (tRNA) molecules are approximately 80 nucleotides in length. The record is from RNAcentral. Lineage: Eukaryota; Fungi; Ascomycota; Pichiomycetes; Serinales; Debaryomycetaceae.